RNAcentral lists this long non-coding RNA (843 nucleotides) under Cicer arietinum (chickpea). RNAcentral describes it as "long non-coding RNA (CARI_LNC001313)". Lineage: Eukaryota; Viridiplantae; Streptophyta; Magnoliopsida; Fabales; Fabaceae. The record is from RNAcentral.
AUCUUUAUUAUCAUGCAAUUUCUUGAAUAGAGUUGUUCUUUUUUGUCUUUUUUUAUGUUGAAUAUGUUGUAUUCUUUUGUUGAAUUUUUCAAUAUGUACCUUAAGGGUAAUUAAGCUGUGUAAACAGAAGCUGUUAUAAUACAUAUAUAUAAGUAUUGUAAUUAUACAAAAUUCUUUAUUGCCACGUAUAAUUAGUUCAUGUGUAGCAUUAUUUUGAGGCUCUUUGAUGUAUAGUGUAAGCAUAAACAUAUUUUGUUUGUUUUCUUCUACGUAGUGUUUUACAAUCCAUAAUGAUAUAUUAUUGUAUUUUUCAUACGAAUUUGAUGCUUAGUCCACAAACAGCCUCUUAAAGUGAUUAGUCGUGUGUCGAUUAAUUUAUCGUUUAUUCAACUAAUAAAAUGAUACACCAGUUAACUCGCACUUGUAACAAUAAUUCUUAUAAAAAUAGAUAAAUUGCUACUUUACAAGCUUAAACUGAUUGAUUUAUUGUUUGCUCAACUAUAAAAUGAUAAACCACUUAGCUCGUACUUUGUAAAUUUGUAACAAUUAGAGUUGUUCUUUUUUGUCUUUUUUUAUGUUGAAUAUGUUGUAUUCUUUUGUUGAAUUUUUCAAUAUGUACCUUAAGGGUAAUUAAGCUGUGUAAACAGAAGCUGUUAUAAUACAUAUAUAUAAGUAUUGUAAUUAUACAAAAUUCUUUAUUGCCACGUAUAAUUAGUUCAUGUGUAGCAUUAUUUUGAGGCUCUUUGAUGUAUAGUGUAAGCAUAAACAUAUUUUGUUUGUUUUCUUCUACGUAGUGUUUUACAAUCCAUAAUGAUAUAUUAUUGUAUUUUUCAUACGAAUUUG